This is a long non-coding RNA of Schistocerca piceifrons (Central American locust), 703 nucleotides long. RefSeq lists it as uncharacterized. The transcript is spliced from 2 exons. The record is from RefSeq and is a predicted model, not a curated record. NCBI's taxonomy places the organism in Eukaryota, Metazoa, Arthropoda, Insecta, Orthoptera, Acrididae.
CUCCGCGCCGACCCGACUCGGCCGAUGCCGCCGCCUGCUGCUGGCCGCGUUGGUCGUUGCGCUCCUCUGGACGCGGGCGCAAGUCGUGGCGGGCUCCUGCGAUGACGACAUCAACGUCUUCGUCGAGUAUCUGGAACAUCUCUAUCGCUCACAAGCCGCCACAAACUCGGGAAAGAGCAGAUGGUCACUCGAUCUUUGCAAGACGGAGUUCAGGAAAGCGAACGGCAAACUUGAGGGCAAGUGCCCGAGCGACGCGCCAGAAGGCUGCGUGUUGCUGUCGCUGGGGCAGCGCAACGUGACCUGCCUCCGCAGGCUGGACCUCACCUACAGCCCCAAGCUGAACGCCGUGCCCUACUGACGACGGCGUGACGCCUGCCAAAGGACGACUGGAGCCGUCGCUGCCGCCGCAGAAGCAGCACCUGCGCCCGAGCUGCGCUGCACCAUCGCUCCUACGAAUAACAUUCUUAUUUAUUUCAUUUACCGUCCAAUGCUGUCGCACCACACAGUCAGAUUAGAGUACCAUAUCUUCCAUACGGAGUAGAGUACGUUUGAAAAUCUGUGAAAAUUGUGAAAUUUUAAAGACUGAAAAAUCACUUAAGUUAUAUCAGACUGGUAAAAAUAAGCUUGCAGGUAUAAACAGUCAGCACAAGAAACGAAGUGCCAAGAAGUGCUUGUUCUCGUAAUAAAAUGUUAUGAAUUCGUA